CGCACAGCAACAAGAAGCGCGUGCACACGCAGCAGCAACAAAGACAUCCCUUUGCCAGGACUCGACUCCCCUCCGCUCUCCCACUCGCUCACCCUCGCCGCCCUCCUCGCCAGCUCCGCUGCGCCAUCUCGACCCCCUUGCCAUUUCACCCCCCCCUCCGUCCACAUCUGCUUUACAUCCGUUUUCCGGUGUGAGCGUGCGAAGAUGGCGUGCAGGAUCAGCAUGCUUCUCUACGUGAUCUCCCAGUUCUUCGCGUUUCUCUUUGUGCUGGUGGGCACGCCGAUCGACAUGUUUCGCCACCAUGGUACAAGCAAAUUCGGCAACACGCCGUGUCUGACCUUGUGGGGUGUAAAGGAAGAGUGCUACAGCACCGUCUACAACGUGAAGUCGGACGAUCUGUGGGCGAACUGCCCGGACCGCCGCCUCCAGUUCCGCGUUGCCCAGGCACUCGCUGUCAUUUCCAUCGUCGUGUACGGCUUGGCUUUCAUCCUCGGCUUCAUUAUGCUGUUCUGCUGCUUUUGCCUCCGCUGGGUCUGUCUGACGCUCAACAUCCUUGGCUUCGGCACCUUGGGCGUCGUCUGGGCGCUCAUGGUGGUGGCCUACUACAAGGAUGACGGCAGAGAUUGUCCGAGGCUGAGCGACCGUUAUCACUUCGGUGCUGGUUUUGCUCUCUUCGUGUCCACAUGGUGCAGAGAUAUAUUCAGUAUUAUCUCUCUGCUUCUUUGCUGCCACUCCGCAGACUCAGGGAAGCGGAAAGUCGCGAACCAAAAUCAAAAGGAACAGUAGGAGGAAGAGCGCAGGAGGAAGCGGCGCUCAUGUCAGCGAGAGAGGGCGCUAGGGCUGCUGGUUCCGGUCUCUGCCUCGCACCGGCUUCUCUCUCGCGCUGCCCUCUCGUGCGUGCGCGUGCGGCGCGCCCCACGCGCUCUCGAGGCGGCGCAGACGUGCUCCCACACACACGCACAGGCCCCAGCACACAGCCCGAGGAGCCGCUCUCGCUCCCAUUGUCCUCGCGUCUCUUCUCGAGCGCUUUCCUCCAUCUCAACCGUUAUGGCGGUGUGCGCGAAUAUGCUCUGACGUGUGGAUGGCGGUGUGGCACGUAGGAAGGAACAUGGUACGGUGUGCCGAUGGUUUGCCUCUCUCGUGCUCACGUCAUGUCAUGCGCGGCGCGUCUUUUCCUUCGCCGCUUGCCUGCUCUCCAUCUGCACAAGGAUGUGCGCUGUGUAGAUGGCAGCGCGCAUCCGGCGCCGGCAAGCCCAUCCAUGCCCCCGUCCCCCCUCCCCGCCCUCACGCUCGCCCGGCGCACCCUUGGCGGAGCGGAGAAGCGAGAUGGUGGCGCCGUCGCCGCAGGCCGGCGAAUCGGCGAGGGAAAACGAGGGCGAAAGAGAGAAGAGAACAGCCGAAGCGGGAGUGGAAGGGGGACGGAGAAGGGGGGUGACGGAGGCGCUCGUGAGACGGGAGUGGGAGGGAGGGAGGAGUCAGAGAGGCCUAUGCGCACGCGCGCGAAACAGGAGAAGCGGCCGCGGCCCUCCUCCCUCCCCUCCGUCCACCUCGCCUUUCUCUUGCUGCGGCGGCACCCCGGUGCUCCUCGCACUGGCGAGAGGACGACGCAGAGCACCGCAGCGACAUGGAAGGCGCCGAGCAGCGUCUCUGCCGCACUCCCGGCUGUCGGUGCUUCGCCUUCUCUCUUCGUUGUGCGCGUGUUUGCCCUUCUUUUCGUUGCGCUCUCUCUGCGCGUGUGCAGACGCAAGAGGCCGAUGGGCUGGGUGGGGAAGCGAGCAGCGGCAGCAAGUGCACACACACACACGCACACGCACGAGGCAAUGAGGGGGAAAAGGAAGGAGCGAAGAAGUGCAGAGCGGAAGGGGCCCAUGCGAAACGGAAAAGAUGAACAACGAACGAGAGACGUGGCUGCUUUCCUCUUCGCUGCAGCUCGUGCCCGUGCCCGUGUCUGCGUGUGCUUGUGCCUGUGCGCGCUCCGCCCCUCCAUCUCGUCGCCUCUCCUGUGCUUUAUCUUCGUCACUUCUCUCACUUCGUGGCUACACCGCUGGACCCUCAAGGCUCCGAUGUCAAGAGUCUCCCUACCGUACUAUGGAGUGCAGCAGCUUGAGGCGACUCAGGUGGAAGCAUGGCAUGCGGGCCGUGUGCAGGGUCUCAGAGGGCCCUGACCCGAAGCUGGCCGACUUCCUCCUUGAGCUCAUCCGGCAUUUACCUGUACCCGUCCCCUAUUACCUGCGCGGCAGGCGCCACCACCUCCGCCCACGAGCAGCACCCUGAGCGCGGCUCGCCCCAGACGGCCCGGAUUUAGCUGCAGUGCAACAGAGGUCGGUGGACCGUAGCGCGCGCGUCUACUUGCGGGCCUGCCUGCGAUGGCGUGACACGCUGAAAGCGCGCAUUCCGUUGCCCCGCCACGCAGGCAAACGAUAAGCAGAACGAGAAGGGAGUGCGCACACACACACACAAAACGACCAAAUGCAAAACGCCCCGCAUCCGCUUGCUCGCCCGACCGCCGCCGCCGCCCGUCUUCUUCGGCUGAAAAGACGGCGUGCGUGCGCCUUUCUCCCCUUCCCCGUUGCGUUAUUGUUUUCUGCUUUUUUUUCUGUGCCGUCUUCCGGCGCGCGUUUCUCGCUUCUCCGCCCCUUCUCGCUUUCGCUCCUCG
This 2656-nucleotide unclassified non-coding RNA is filed under the name Leishmania donovani. Its description in RNAcentral is "gene:unknown". The record is from RNAcentral. Lineage: Eukaryota; Euglenozoa; Kinetoplastea; Trypanosomatida; Trypanosomatidae.